GACGAACGCUGGCGGCGUGGAUUAGGCAUGCAAGUCGGACGGUAAGGGCUUUAUCGUAAGAUAGAGUUUGAGAGUGGCGAACGGGUGAGUAACACGUAGGAAUCUACCCUUAAGACGGGGACAACCCAGGGAAACUUGGGCUAAUACCGGAUCGAGAGUGCGAGAGAUUGCAUUUAAAAGGAUGGCGAAAGUUGUCGCUUAGGGAUGAGCCUGCGGUCUAUUAGUUAGUUGGUGAGGUAAAAAACUCACCAAGGCGAUGAUAGAUAGGCGGCCUUAACGGGUGGUCGCCCACACUGGGAUUGAGAUACGGCCCCAGACUCCUACGGGAGGCAGCAGUCGAGAAUAGUCUACAAUUGGCCGGAAAGGCUGAUAGUGCGACGCCGCGUGAACGAGGGAGCCCUUCGGGUGUAAAGUUCUUUUCUAUACGAGCAGUGCUAUAUAUAUGGAUAGUAAUAUAUAGAGGGAUAGUAGUAUAGGAAUAAGCAACGGCUAACUCCGUGCCAGCAGCCGCGGU
Molecule: ribosomal RNA, 514 nt
Filed under: uncultured bacterium
Lineage: Bacteria
Description: bacterial SSU rRNA
Rfam family: Bacterial small subunit ribosomal RNA
Source: RNAcentral